UAUCUCUUGAUGCUUGAAGAGGCAGACUGAGGACAAAUAAGAGCUUCUAACUUAACUGGGGUAGCAAAUUUAUGAAUCAUUGUCCCAAGGGUAAAGAUUGUAGGAACUCAAAUUACAAACAGGUACACCAAAGGACUAGGUAAAUUAAUGGAUCACAGGCACAGAAGCGAUUCCUGGGUCUUGUUUAUUUUGUUUUUUGUUUUUUAAGCAGGGAUAACCCCUUAGGCUCUGGGCUGCUUUUACAAAGUAUUAGAAGGAAAUUGCCACCUCUUGUGGAUAAUAUUAAACCUCGGACCAUGCACACUUAGCAGUGGAGAGGUCAUUCCAGAGAUAUCACACUCACCGAGUUUACAGGCAAAAGAAGAAAAUCCCAAGAAAAGGGUGGCGGGGAGCAAAGCAAAGACAAAAUCCUUCUCCUGACUGCUUGAGCCCUGCCUAUUCCCUGAGGAUUAAACUCUGAACGCGUCCCUCACACGGAAAGGACCACAGCUUCCAGGCAAGGCAUUACACAGUCCUUGGCCUCAAUAAACUUUUCCCACUCAUAACUCUACCUGCUAUCCAGAGGACCCAGACUGACAUCCAAGGCAUUUGCUGGGUAAAUGAAAUAACCGAUUUCCAAGGCUCACCACUUUUAAAGAUGCUUAAAGACAAUUCACGGCAGACAUUAUAUUAUGUGUGAAUGUGAGUCUUGCUCUUCUACCUUCUACCACCGCACAAUGAGGCAGGAAGCUCUCCCCAGAUGCAGCUCCUUGACUUUGGACUUGCCAGACCCCAGAACUCUAAGGAUAAAUCUCUUUUGUAAAUGAAUUACUUAAUCUCAGGUAUUCUGUAUGGCAGCAAACAAAGGACUAAGACACCGUGUGAGACUUGAUUUUCUUCAUAUACUUCAACCAAAAUAACAUCUUGUAACAGACUGAAUGAGAAGCAGAGAGAUGUGAAAAUUCAGCUAUUUUUCUACUGAGCCUGACAUUAAAGAGGUUUUCAAAAUGUAAAAGCAGUGCUGCUGUUUUCACUGA
Long non-coding RNA from Heterocephalus glaber (naked mole-rat), 1016 nucleotides. NCBI's taxonomy places the organism in Eukaryota, Metazoa, Chordata, Mammalia, Rodentia, Bathyergidae. The record is from Ensembl.